GCCAGUAUCGCGUAGGUGGUCCGCGCGUCUGCCUGAAGAGCAGAAGGAGACUGUUCGAUUCAGUCUACUGGCA
RNAcentral lists this transfer RNA (73 nucleotides) under Spirochaetota bacterium. RNAcentral's name for it is "Spirochaetes bacterium tRNA-Phe". It matches the Rfam family "tRNA". Rfam says of the family: Transfer RNA (tRNA) molecules are approximately 80 nucleotides in length. Their secondary structure includes four short double-helical elements and three loops (D, anti-codon, and T loops). The record is from RNAcentral. Lineage: Bacteria; Pseudomonadati; Spirochaetota.